GAAAUGCGAUAAGUAGUGUGAAUUGCAGAAUUCAGUAAAUCAUCGAAUCUUUGAACGCACAUUGCGCCCCUCGGUAUUCCGUGGGGCAUGCCUGUUCGAGCGUCAUCUACACCCUCAAGCUCUGCUUGGUGUUGGGCGUCUGUCCCGCCUCCGCGCGCGGACUCGCCCCAAAUGCAUUGGCAGCGGUUCCUUGCCCCCCUCUUUGCGCAGCACAUUGCCAUUCGAGGCGGCGGCGGCCCGCGUCCAACAAGCUCAACCCCCCCGUCUUUGACCUCGGAUCAGGUAGGGAUACCCGCUGAACUUAAGC
This 307-nucleotide unclassified non-coding RNA is filed under the name plant metagenome. RNAcentral's name for it is "partial contains 5.8S ribosomal RNA, internal transcribed spacer 2, and large subunit ribosomal RNA". The stretch from base 1 to 105 matches the Rfam family "5.8S ribosomal RNA", at positions 50 to 154 of the family's 154-position model. The record is from RNAcentral.